This 451-nucleotide ribosomal RNA is filed under the name uncultured bacterium. RNAcentral's name for it is "bacterial SSU rRNA". It matches the Rfam family "Bacterial small subunit ribosomal RNA", at positions 29 to 524 of the family's 1533-position model. The record is from RNAcentral.
AACGAACGCUGGCGGCAGGCCUAACACAUGCAAGUCGAACGCCCUAGCAAUAGGGAGUGGCAGACGGGUGAGUAACACGUGGGAACCUUCCCUAUAGUACGGAAUAUACCAGGGAAACUUGGAGCAAUACCGUAUACGCCCGAGAGGGGAAAGAUUUAUCGCUAUAGGAUGGGCCCGCGUAGGAUUAGCUAGUUGGUGAGGUAAUGGCUCACCAAGGCGACGAUCCUUAGCUGGUUUGAGAGAACGACCAGCCACACUGGGACUGAGACACGGCCCAGACUCCUACGGGAGGCAGCAGUGGGGAAUAUUGGACAAUGGGCGGCAAGGCCUGAUCCAGCCAUGCCGCGUGAGUGAUGAAGGCCUUAGGGUUGUAAAGCUCUUUUGCCGGGACGAUAAUGACGGUACCCGGAGAAUAAGUCCCGGCUAACUUCGUGCCAGCCGCCGCAGUAAC